This 201-nucleotide long non-coding RNA is filed under the name Bos taurus (domestic cattle). RNAcentral describes it as "long non-coding RNA NONBTAT023306". The record is from RNAcentral. Lineage: Eukaryota; Metazoa; Chordata; Mammalia; Artiodactyla; Bovidae.
AACUUUCAUAACUCCACCUGGAUGCUGGCCACCUUUCCCUUCUCAGCUCUGUCUUUGGCUUCGUGCCACUCCCUUAUUCUCUGAUCCUCCCUUUUCUUAUCUCUAACGAGGAGAAGGGGCCUAGAUGAAAAAUAACAAGAUCCCACGUUGCUCAGUGAAGCAGGAGUCAAGGGUCCCCCCAAAAGCCUUGUUCUUCAUACU